This 357-nucleotide ribosomal RNA is filed under the name Triticum aestivum (bread wheat). RNAcentral's name for it is "partial small subunit ribosomal RNA". The record is from RNAcentral. Lineage: Eukaryota; Viridiplantae; Streptophyta; Magnoliopsida; Poales; Poaceae.
AUGGUGCUUUGUUCUAGCGAGUCAUCUUGCUUUUUGUUCUUCCUUUUCAUAGGGGUAAGCAAUGUUGUGGUUGGCAAGGGGUCUUAUGAGGUUAAUCAAAGCAUGGGCGGUCAAUUAGUGUUUCAGCCAUCGCCCAUGUGUAGGGAUGAAAAUGGAGUGGAAGUUUCUGCUUUUCCGGAGAAAAAAUGGAAAUGGAGAGGAAAUAUGACAACAGAAACAGAAAUUUGCAAAUCUGAAAUGGAAAUGGAAUUUUUUAUGCGGAAACGGAAACAAAAACGGAAAUUGUGUUUUCCGGUGGAACACACGUGGAAACGGAACUUUCCGUUUCCGUUAAUAUGGAAUUUCCGUUUCUACUAG